AGAAGUUUUCUGUCCUCCUUGCUCUGAAAAAUCCUUCUGAUCUCUGGGGCAGUGUAGAGGGCUGCCCAGGGAACACCAGGCAUCCUGGGCGGAGGCCAUUCUGAGGACAGGAUACCAGCGCAGGAACUGGGAACCGGAGCUGAGGCUGCCAGGAAGUCGGUCCCCUUCCCUCCCAGCUCAUUCUGUGUGCAGCUCACCGCUUCCUCAUACCUUCCUUCCUUCCUCCCUCUCCUAAACUAGCUCCAGGUGGAGCCCUGACAAAGGUAGAACCAACUGACAAAGAUGAUGCUGAGAAACAGAAAGAGGCAGGAGGCGAAGAUAAGAAUGCUGUAGGGGAGGGCGCAGAACCACCAGGCUAACCUGUAGAGAUCAAGAUUUGGCUAAUGUGGCUGAAGUUACAGAGGCCGGAAAAGAACACGCUCAGAGGACAACACGCGGGAGUCGCGUGUUUCAUGUUCGUGCUCAUGUUUCGUGUUCGUGGCUGAGACUGUGCCGGAGACAGUCAGUAUUGGGAUGAUCUCUCUCAUCCCCAAUCUCUUCCCUGUCCAUCCCUCACACUACUACCUGAAACUCUCGACUAUGGCAACUCAAGAACAAAGACGUCCCAUGCACUCAAAUGUCUUUCAAGGUUUGCUGCAAUAAAAUGCUUCCUAUGUUUGCA
This is a long non-coding RNA of Marmota monax (woodchuck), 661 nucleotides long. RefSeq lists it as uncharacterized. The transcript is spliced from 3 exons. NCBI's taxonomy places the organism in Eukaryota, Metazoa, Chordata, Mammalia, Rodentia, Sciuridae. The record is from RefSeq and is a predicted model, not a curated record.